This 253-nucleotide ribosomal RNA is filed under the name uncultured bacterium. Its description in RNAcentral is "partial 16S ribosomal RNA". It matches the Rfam family "Bacterial small subunit ribosomal RNA", at positions 524 to 776 of the family's 1533-position model. The record is from RNAcentral.
UACGGAGGGGGCUAGCGUUGUUCGGAAUUACUGGGCGUAAAGCGCACGUAGGCGGCUUUGUAAGUUAGAGGUGAAAGCCCGGGGCUCAACUCCGGAAUUGCCUUUAAGACUGCAUCGCUAGAAUUGUGGAGAGGUAAGUGGAAUUCCGAGUGUAGAGGUGAAAUUCGUAGAUAUUCGGAAGAACACCAGUGGCGAAGGCGACUUACUGGACCGGUUCUGACACUGAGGAGCGAAAGCGUGGGGAGCGAUCCGG